This 103-nucleotide ribosomal RNA is filed under the name Bacteroidetes bacterium ADurb.Bin123. Lineage: Bacteria; Pseudomonadati; Bacteroidota. The record is from RNAcentral.
AGGUGACUAUAGCGGCGGGGUUCCACCUCUUCCCAUUCCGAACAGAGAAGUUAAGCCUGCCAGCGCCGAUGGUACUGCAUUCGUGGGAGAGUAGGUCGUUGCC